AUCUUGCACAAUGGGGGCAACCCUGAUGCAGCGACGCCGCGUGAGCGAUGAAGCCCUUCGGGGCGUAAAGCUCUUUCGACCGGAACGAUAAUGACGGUACCGGGAGAAGAAGCUGCGGCUAACUACGUGCCAGCAGCCGCGGUAAUACGUAGGCAGCAAGCGUUGUUCGGAGUUACUGGGCGUAAAGAGUGCGUAGGCGGUUUUCUAAGUUCGGUGUGAGAUCUCCCGGCUUAACUGGGAGGGUGCGCCGAAGACUGGGAAGCUGGAGUGUGGGAAAGGCAGGCGGAAUUCCUGGUGUAGCGGUGAAAUGCGUAGAUAUCAGGAGGAACACCGGCGGUGUAGACGGCUUGCUAGACCAUAACUGACGCUGAGGCACGAAAGCGUGGGUAGCAAACA
This 396-nucleotide ribosomal RNA is filed under the name uncultured bacterium. RNAcentral's name for it is "bacterial SSU rRNA". It matches the Rfam family "Bacterial small subunit ribosomal RNA", at positions 361 to 774 of the family's 1533-position model. The record is from RNAcentral.